GAUGAAGCCCAGCUUGCUGGGUGGAUUAGUGGCGAACGGGUGAGUAACACGUGGGUGAUCUGCCCUGCACUUCGGGAUAAGCCUGGGAAACUGGGUCUAAUACCGGAUAGGACCUCGGGAUGCAUGUUCCGGGGUGGAAAGGUUUUCCGGUGCAGGAUGGGCCCGCGGCCUAUCAGCUUGUUGGUGGGGUAACGGCCCACCAAGGCGACGACGGGUAGCCGGCCUGAGAGGGCGACCGGCCACACUGGGACUGAGACACGGCCCAGACUCCUACGGGAGGCAGCAGUGGGGAAUAUUGCACAAUGGGCGCAAGCCUGAUGCAGCGACGCCGCGUGAGGGAUGACGGCCUUCGGGUUGUAAACCUCUUUCAGUACCGACGAAGCGCGAGUGACGGUAGGUACAGAAGAAGCACCGGCCAACUACGUGCCAGCAGCCGCGGUAAUACGUAGGGUGCGAGCGUUGUCCGGAAUUACUGGGCGUAAAGAGCUCGUAGGCGGUUUGUCGCGUCGUCUGUGAAAACCCGCAGCUCAACUGCGGGCUUGCAGGCGAUACGGGCAGACUUGAGUACUGCAGGGGAGACUGGAAUUCCUGGUGUAGCGGUGAAAUGCGCAGAUAUCAGGAGGAACACCGGUGGCGAAGGCGGGUCUCUGGGCAGUAACUGACGCUGAGGAGCGAAAGCGUGGGUAGCGAA
RNAcentral lists this ribosomal RNA (691 nucleotides) under Rhodococcus sp. (in: high G+C Gram-positive bacteria). Its description in RNAcentral is "bacterial SSU rRNA". It matches the Rfam family "Bacterial small subunit ribosomal RNA", at positions 68 to 772 of the family's 1533-position model. The record is from RNAcentral. Lineage: Bacteria; Bacillati; Actinomycetota; Actinomycetes; Mycobacteriales; Nocardiaceae.